CUACGGGCUGCUGCAGUGGGGAAUUUUGGACAAUGGGCGCAAGCCUGAUCCAGCCAUUCCGCGUGAGUGAAGAAGGCCUUCGGGUUGUAAAGCUCUUUCGCAAGGGAAGAAAACUUAUCCUCUAACAUAGGGUGAGGUUGACGGUACCUUGAUAAGAAGCACCGGCUAACUACGUGCCAGCAGCCGCGGUAAUACGUAGGGUGCGAGCGUUAAUCGGAAUUACUGGGCGUAAAGCGUGCGCAGGCUGUUUUGUAAGUCAGAUGUGAAAUCCCCGAGCUCAACUUGGGAACUGCGUUUGAAACUACAAGACUAGAAUAUGUCAGAGGGGGGUAGAAUUCCAUGUGUAGCAGUGAAAUGCGUAGAGAUGUGGAGGAAUACCAAUGGCGAAGGCAGCCCCCUGGGAUAAUAUUGACGCUCAUGCACGAAAGCGUGGGGAGCAAACAGGAUUAGAUACCCGGGUAGUC
Molecule: ribosomal RNA, 464 nt
Filed under: uncultured bacterium
Lineage: Bacteria
Description: partial 16S ribosomal RNA
Rfam family: Bacterial small subunit ribosomal RNA
Source: RNAcentral